RNAcentral lists this ribosomal RNA (101 nucleotides) under Acinetobacter baumannii. RNAcentral's name for it is "partial 16S ribosomal RNA". It matches the Rfam family "Bacterial small subunit ribosomal RNA", at positions 1 to 100 of the family's 1533-position model. The record is from RNAcentral. Lineage: Bacteria; Pseudomonadati; Pseudomonadota; Gammaproteobacteria; Moraxellales; Moraxellaceae.
UAACUGAAGAGUUUGAUCAUGGCUCAGAUUGAACGCUGGCGGCAGGCUUAACACAUGCAAGUCGAGCGGGGGAAGGUAGCUUGCUACUGGACCUAGCGGCG